GAUGAACGCUAGCUACAGGCUUAACACAUACAAGUCGAGGGGAAACGACAUCGAAAGCUUGCUUUUGAUGGGCGUCGACCGGCGCACGGGUGAGUAACGCGUAUCCAACCUGCCCACCACUUGGGGAUAACCUUGCGAAAGUAAGACUAAUACCCAAUGAUAUCUCUAGAAGACAUCUGAAAGAGAUUAAAGAUUUAUCGGUGAUGGAUGGGGAUGCGUCUGAUUAGCUUGUUGGCGGGGUAACGGCCCACCAAGGCAACGAUCAGUAGGGGUUCUGAGAGGAAGGUCCCCCACAUUGGAACUGAGACACGGUCCAAACUCCUACGGGAGGCAGCAGUGAGGAAUAUUGGUCAAGGGACGAGAGUCUGAACCAGCCAAGUAGCGUGCAGGAAGACGGCCCUAUGGGUUGUAAACUGCUUUUAUAAGGGAAUAAAGUGAGUCUCGGGAGACUUUUUGCAUGUACCUGAUGAAUAAGGACCGGCUAAUUCCGUG
This 492-nucleotide ribosomal RNA is filed under the name uncultured bacterium. RNAcentral's name for it is "partial 16S ribosomal RNA". It matches the Rfam family "Bacterial small subunit ribosomal RNA", at positions 28 to 507 of the family's 1533-position model. The record is from RNAcentral.